This 253-nucleotide ribosomal RNA is filed under the name uncultured bacterium. Its description in RNAcentral is "partial 16S ribosomal RNA". It matches the Rfam family "Bacterial small subunit ribosomal RNA", at positions 524 to 776 of the family's 1533-position model. The record is from RNAcentral.
GACAGAGGUGCCGAGCGUUAGGCGGAAUCACUGGGCUUAAAGCGUGUGUAGGCGGAUCUGUAAGUACCUUGUGAAAUCCCACGGCUCAACCGUGGAACUGCUUGGUAUACUGCGGGUCUUGAGCCACCUAGGGGCAAGUGGAACAAACGGUGGAGCGGUGAAAUGCGUAGAUAUCGUUUGGAACGCCAAUGGUGAAAACAGGCAGCUGGGAGUGUGCUGACGCUGAGACACGAAAGCCAGGGGAGCGAACGGG